Vicugna pacos (alpaca) is the source of this 1739-nucleotide non-coding RNA. NCBI's taxonomy places the organism in Eukaryota, Metazoa, Chordata, Mammalia, Artiodactyla, Camelidae. The record is from RefSeq and is a predicted model, not a curated record.
GCAGCCGGAGUUGUUUUCCAGGAACUUGGAGUCAGCUGGUCUUGUUUGAGCUGAUCUGGUUAGGACGGCAUAGGACCCCAAACCCUUCAACUGGGCAUGCGUGAGUUUUUGUUGCGCGCUCUUUGGACCAUGCAGGGGCCCGUAGCUUAGUCACGCCUGCGCAGAACCAUGCUUACCGCAGCUGUUUGCAGGCGUCUCGCCUUUCGCUCCUCGCGCCUCAAGCCGCGCUGACGCGUUGUUUCUUAUCCACGGUUGCUCCAGGCCCCUUGCUCUUCGGAGGUGAAAUUGUGGCUUGUCUCCCUGCUUGGCUGCUUUGCGGAUAAAGCCUCUCUUUGCUGGAGACCUGGGAGUCAGCGUUUUGGCUUGCUGUGCUUUAGGCAAGUGAAAUGGAAUAUAGUAUCAUUAGGUGAAGGUGAUCGUGGAAAAGGAGGUCUUGGAAAUGUGCAGAGAAAGAAUUAUAAACUAGUCCCCGAGGAGAGACUGGACAGGGAAAUAUAGCAUGACUGCUGAACAGCAUUAGGAUCACAUGAGGUGAAUGUGCAACUACGCCAGUUCUGAGAAGAUACUUUAAGAAUAAUCUUUCGUUUCCACUCACUCUCUCAUGUACCUGCCAUCCACCAUGAGAAGAGUGUGGUCUAGCAAGCUGCUGCUACUUCAGCCUGGACCUCAGAAUGAUAAACCUAUGAAGUAUAACUGAGCCUGACCUGUAGCCUGAAAUAGAGCUGCCACAGCCAACUCACAAACGCAUGAGAAAGAAAGGUUGUAGACAACUGAAAUUUAGAGCAAAAGUUGACUCAUCAAUUGUAGUUCUCAGAAUGGAUCUGAAAGUCACACUACAGAACCAAGUCAUCAAGGGAAAGCGCCUGGAAUCUACCACAUAACAUUUUCACUAUACCCUGUUGACCAGAAUUUAUUUACAUGUCAACGAUCAGCUGCAAGGGAUCGUUCUGGGAGGUCAUUUGCCCUGUUCAUUUCAUAAUGCUGUAAAAGAAGAGAAUGAUCCUAAACAUCAACUAGUUACAAUUCAGUGAGAGAUUACAUUUAAAAUUAGUUAAGAUAGAUGUAUUUUUUAAAAGGCAAAGCACAUGAAUGACAAACUGAAAAGAACUAUGGUCAACAGGUUUUAACAGUGAUGAAAGAAAUACAGUACAAUGUAAAUAGGGUAUCAUUGGUUUGAAAUAUAUAUCUAGAUCUAGUUCUAAACAUAUCACCCCAGAUUGGGGAUAAUAAAAUUAUGAAUGAUCGUCUGUAUAAAUACAGAUCACAUUAAAAAAGAUGAAAAGGACAUUUGCAAAAAAAAUCUUUAAAAUGAAACACUGCCAGUGGAAUGGUAUUUAAUUGAAUAAAAAAAUACCUUAUUUAGUGCAGUUUGGCAAUAUAUGUCACAACUAUUCAGAGCCUUAACCUAGUAGUUACAUUUCUAGGAAUUUGUCUUAGAUGAAUUAUGAGAAUUAUGAAUAUGAGUUCUUAUAAAAGAAGCUUAAUACAAGGCAAAUUGUAACACUGAAUAUUUUGUAACACCACUAAAUGUCCAACAAGACUGGGAGAACAAGUUAUCCUUUAUUCAUUCCAUUGAAUAUUAUCAGGAGUUGGCAAAAUAAAGUUAUAAAGAAAUGCAUGUUUUGUAAACCAUAAUACCAGUAUUUGAAUCACUACUCUAGUACUUAUUAGCAGUAUGAUCAGCAGCAAGUUAGUUAUUCUUUUAAAGACUUAGUUUUCUUAUAUCUAAAAUAAAGAUA